GACGGGGCCCGCACAAGCGGUGGAGCACGUGGUUUAAUUCGAUGCAAACCGAAGAACCUUACCUGGGUUUGACAUGUACGUGUUACUGAUCUGAGAGGAGAGGGACCCAUGCUUCGGUAUGGGAGCGUACACAGGUGCUGCAUGGCUGUCGUCAGCUCGUGUCGUGAGAUGUUGGGUUAAGUCCCGUAACGAGCGCAACCCUUGCCUUUAGUUGCCAGCAGUUCGGCUGGGCACUCUAAAGGGACUGCCGGUGUUAAACCGGAGGAAGGUGGGGAUGACGUCAAGUCCUCAUGGCCUUUAUGACCAGGGCUACACACGUACUACAAUGGCCGAUACAAAGGGCAGCGACAUUGCGAGGUGAAGCCAAUCCCGUAAAAUCGGUCUCAGUCCGGAUUGGAGUCUGCAACUCGACUCCAUGAAGUUGGAAUCGCUAGUAAUCGCAGAUCAGCCAAGCUGCGGUGAAUACGUUCCCGGGCCUU
Molecule: ribosomal RNA, 479 nt
Filed under: uncultured Desulfobulbus sp.
Lineage: Bacteria; Pseudomonadati; Thermodesulfobacteriota; Desulfobulbia; Desulfobulbales; Desulfobulbaceae
Description: bacterial SSU rRNA
Rfam family: Bacterial small subunit ribosomal RNA
Source: RNAcentral